GACCAAAAAAAAAAAAAAAACUAUCAUUAUUAAUUUCCAUUAUAAGUCUUGACAUUUAUUGGAGAGCCUGCUGCCUCAAAUAAAAGUCCUAUCUAGCAAGGAGUAAAAUCCUAAAGAAAUAGGGAAAGAGAAGUCAGCAACAUGAAAGUCCUAAAUGAAAUUGGAAUUGGCUACAAUAUCUCAAAUCCUUGAGGAAAGAGAAUAAAUAAAAGAAACAAUUAGUGUUUUCUAAAGGAAAUAGGAAAAGAAAUCAGACCCUUGAUUUAAAAAAGUGCUAAAUCAUUUUUUUUUGGCACCCUUGUUAAUUGUAGGACACUGCUUGGGUUCUCCUGGCCAGAUGAUGUAGACAACAUGAACAUAUAAUGACUUACCUGCUAUGUGGCAGUUGUCAUUCUAUGAUUUCCUGACCAUGUGACAGCCAUUUGUGACUGUUGUAGUCUGUGUAUUCUUGCGGCACUUGUGCCACAAGACAUUGAAUUGAAAGCAAAACGCAGAAUAUGGUAUAGUGAAAUAUAUCACUGCAAUUGAAUGUGAUAAUAUUAUGCUUUCAUGCAGUACAUAAUUUAAUUGCCUUGAGAACCAGAAACUCUAUAAUGCUGAUAAAGAAUGAAGAGAAAACUACCCCAUCAAACGCUAUUAGCUAGUCUGGAAACAAAAAUGAUGUCCUCUAGAGACCUGAAUGCUUGUAGCAUGCGAGUUCAUUUGGAAAAAGGAUAUUUGGCUUUGGAUGUGCCUAAAUUCCCAAGAAUUGCUGGAGUGUAGCAAUGUUCAUUGUAUUUCCUAUUUUAAGACUUAGGAAAUGAAGUGGAAUUACCAAUUUGCAUGAUCUCAUUUUUUGCCUGUGAAUUAGAUCCUGCAGAAUACACAAAUUUGGGUUUGAUUUUAUAAUUAUUAUUGUUGUCUAUGUUAGGGCAUUCCACCAUUAUCGUGGGC
This 933-nucleotide unclassified non-coding RNA is filed under the name Hevea brasiliensis (rubber tree). Lineage: Eukaryota; Viridiplantae; Streptophyta; Magnoliopsida; Malpighiales; Euphorbiaceae. The record is from RNAcentral.